AGAGUUUGAUUAUGGCUCAGGAUGAACGCUGGCGGCGUGCUUAACACAUGCAAGUCGAACGGAAAGGCCACAGCUUGCUGUGGUACUCGAGUGGCGAACGGGUGAGUAACACGUGGGUGAUCUGCCCUGUACUUCGGGAUAAGCUUGGGAAACUGGGUCUAAUACCGGAUAUGACCACUUUUUGGAUGGGGUGGUGGAAAGCUUUUGCGGUAUGGGAUGAGCUCGCGGCCUAUCAGCUUGUUGGUGGGGUAAUGGCCUACCAAGGCGUCGACGGGUAGCCGGCCUGAGAGGGUGUACGGCCACAUUGGGACUGAGAUACGGCCCAGACUCCUACGGGAGGCAGCAGUGGGGAAUAUUGCACAAUGGGCGCAAGCCUGAUGCAGCGACGCCGCGUGGGGGAUGACGGCCUUCGGGUUGUAAACUCCUUUCGUCAGGAACGAAGCGUAAGUGACGGUACCUGGAUAAGAAGCACCGGCUAACUACGUGCCAGCAGCCGCGGUAAUACGUAGGGUGCGAGCGUUGUCCGGAAUUACUGGGCGUAAAGAGCUCGUAGGUGGUUUGUCGCGUCGUUUGUGUAAGUCCACGGCUUAACUGUGGGAUGGCAGGCGAUACGGGCAUAACUUGAGUGCUGUAGGGGAGACUGGAAUUCCUGGUGUAGCGGUGAAAUGCGCAGAUAUCAGGAGGAACACCGAUGGCGAAGGCAGGUCUCUGGGCAGUAACUGACGCUGAGGAGCGAAAGCAUGGGUAGCGAACAGGAUUAGAUACCCUGGUAGUCCAUGCCGUAAACGGUGGGCGCUAGGUGUGAGUCCCUUCCACGGGGUUCGUGCCGUAGCUAACGCAUUAAGCGCCCCGCCUGGGGAGUACGGCCGCAAGGCUAAAACUCAAAGGAAUUGACGGGGGCCCNCACAAGCGNCGGANCAUGUGGAUUAUUUCGA
Molecule: ribosomal RNA, 935 nt
Filed under: uncultured bacterium
Lineage: Bacteria
Description: bacterial SSU rRNA
Rfam family: Bacterial small subunit ribosomal RNA
Source: RNAcentral